Molecule: small nucleolar RNA, 99 nt
Organism: Mangifera indica (mango)
Lineage: Eukaryota; Viridiplantae; Streptophyta; Magnoliopsida; Sapindales; Anacardiaceae
Product: small nucleolar RNA snoR109
Exons: 1
Source: RefSeq, a predicted model, not a curated record
CAGCUGUUGCUAGAUCAACUUUAAAGUUUACUGCCCAGUUGUUGUGAGAGAUUUACUCAAAUCCCGCCAACAAAUUUGCUUAUCUAAAUUCGCAAAUUC